RNAcentral lists this ribosomal RNA (460 nucleotides) under uncultured bacterium. RNAcentral describes it as "partial 16S ribosomal RNA". It matches the Rfam family "Bacterial small subunit ribosomal RNA", at positions 338 to 795 of the family's 1533-position model. The record is from RNAcentral.
CCUACGGGAGGCAGCAGUGAGGAAUAUUGGUCAAUGGACGAGAGUCUGAACCAGCCAAGUAGCGUGAAGGAUGACUGCCCUAUGGGUUGUAAACUUCUUUUAUAUGGGAAUAAAAUGUUCCCCGUGUGGGAUUUUGUAUGUACCAUAUGAAUAAGGAUCGGCUAACUCCGUGCCAGCAGCCGCGGUAAUACGGAGGAUCCGAGCGUUAUGCGGAUUUAUUGGGUUUAAAGGGAGCGUAGGUGGAUUGUUAAGUCAGUUGUGAAAGUUUGGGGCUCAACCGUAAAAUUGCAGUUGAAACUGGCAGUCUUGAGUAUAGUAGAGGUGGGCGGAAUGCGUGGUGUAGCGGUGAAAUGCUUAGAUAUCACGAAGAACUCCGAUUGCGAAGGCAGUUCACUGGACUGCAACUGACACUGAGGCUCGAAAGUGUGGGUAUCAAACAGGAUUAGAUACCCGGGUAGUC